AGCUGAUCCGAGUGAAAUGGUGUUUGCAACUUACUUACCAUAGUCAGUUACAGAUUUCUUUGUUCCUUUUCCACUCCCACUGCUUCACUUGACUACCCUUAA
Molecule: Y RNA, 102 nt
Filed under: Carlito syrichta (Philippine tarsier)
Lineage: Eukaryota; Metazoa; Chordata; Mammalia; Primates; Tarsiidae
Description: Y RNA (ENSTSYG00000025616.1)
Rfam family: Y RNA
About the family: Y RNAs are components of the Ro ribonucleoprotein particle (Ro RNP), in association with Ro60 and La proteins. The Y RNAs and Ro60 and La proteins are well conserved, but the function of the Ro RNP is not known. In humans the RNA component can be one of four small RNAs -- hY1, hY3, hY4 and hY5.
Source: Rfam by way of RNAcentral